CCUACGGGCGGCAGCAGUGGGGGAUAUUGCACAAUGGGGGAAACCCUGAUGCAGCGACGCCGCGUGGGUGAAGAAGUAUUUCGGUAUGUAAAGCCCUAUCAGCAGGGAAGAAAGAAGACGGUACCUGACUAAGAAGCCCCGGCUAACUACGUGCCAGCAGCCGCGGUAAUACGUAGGGGGCGAGCGUUAUCCGGAUUCACUGGGUGUAAAGGGAGCGUAGACGGCCGUGCAAGCCAGGAGUGAAAGCCCGGGGCCCAACCCCGGGACUGCUCUUGGAACUGUGCGGCUAGAGUGCGGGAGGGGCAGGCGGAAUUCCUGGUGUAGCGGUGAAAUGCGUAGAUAUCAGGAGGAACACCAGUGGCGAAGGCGGCUUUCUGGACUGUAACUGACACUGAGGUACGAAAGCGUGGGGAGCAAACAGGAUUAGAUACCCGUGUAGUC
RNAcentral lists this ribosomal RNA (441 nucleotides) under uncultured bacterium. Its description in RNAcentral is "partial 16S ribosomal RNA". It matches the Rfam family "Bacterial small subunit ribosomal RNA", at positions 338 to 795 of the family's 1533-position model. The record is from RNAcentral.